CGUUAAGCUUCGGACGUAGAGAUCCUUGGCUUUUCCCAGGGCUCGGAUUGGGGAAGUGAUUAUCCGGACGAAUAUGUUGUGAUUCUGUCCGGAUUUGGAUCUACUCAUGGCUGGCUGAGAAUCUGAGGAAAUUUGUGAGAGUGAAAAGCGGCAGAGAACAGAGAUGAGAUUGGGGAAAGUUGUAAAAGAAGAUGAGGAUUAAUGAAUUGGGUGUGUCAUUUAUGAAGAAAUUAAUUAUUAGUUAAAGAGAUA
RNAcentral lists this long non-coding RNA (252 nucleotides) under Linum usitatissimum (flax). RNAcentral's name for it is "long non-coding RNA (LUSI_LNC000566)". The record is from RNAcentral. Lineage: Eukaryota; Viridiplantae; Streptophyta; Magnoliopsida; Malpighiales; Linaceae.